Cryptomeria japonica (Japanese cedar) is the source of this 1276-nucleotide RNA transcript. RefSeq lists it as uncharacterized. NCBI's taxonomy places the organism in Eukaryota, Viridiplantae, Streptophyta, Pinopsida, Cupressales, Cupressaceae. The record is from RefSeq and is a predicted model, not a curated record. The transcript has 2 exons.
UGAAGCCCAUAACCCUCCAUAAAUAUCCCCAUUUCAAUAUCCCUGCACCACUACCCACCCCUCUCCCCUAAUUAAAAAACAUUAUGAAUAUAUAAAGCGGUUUGUGGCAGAUACAAAAAUGAGAACAUAAAUUUUGUUGGGUAGAUAGAUUAGAUACUAAAGGUGAGCUCGUAAUUGUAAUAAAAAAUUAUUGUAAAUUCCAGUGUCAGUUCACUGGCAAAAUUGAGCUGACUGCCCUUUUAACAUCAUAUAAUAAAUCUCUGUGCUCUCUUAAGCCAAAACAAAAGCCCAUUUUGGGAUGCUUCCUGAGCGGUGGUUGUAUUCAUUCAUCAGAGAUACUUCAUGCUCAGUCCUCAACGUGUAAGUCUUCAAUCCUUAACAUGUGUUUAAUAAAACAGUCUGUCUUAACAACCAAUCGGAUACUGCUUAACACGACCAGCCAAGCUAUGGUCUAUCUGUAAAUCAGAAAAUUGCAUCAAACUCCUAAAAAAGCUAUCAGAAGAUCGGCCUGUUGAUUUAGGUUCCUUGCCUUAGUAAUAUUAAGGCAAGACGCAUUCAAAAUUCAAGCGGGGAUUCUGACCUGCUUUUACUAGAGGGUUAAUGCGAGAAUCUGUGGCCCUUUUCCCCGGAUUUUCACUGCCGUCAAGCAUCCAACACAAGUAUUGUCUGAUAUGGAUUACAUUGAGAUUUAAAUCUAUAAUCAGCCUUCGUUGAAUAAAAUUUCAUCGCUUUAAUGGAUGAAUGGGUUUGGUAUUGUGGGGCAGUGGAAGAAGACGAACCACCCAUUUCUUAUUUCUAGACGAGUCAAGGGUCACUUAAUGAAUGCACUCUUUGUGAUGGAUCAGAAACUAUUUUCCACGGUGUUUCAUGGAUGGCUGGGGGAUGGCUAUAUAUAUAUAUAUAUAUAUAUAGUGAGAGAAAGAGAGAUACUCAAAUUUCUACAAGUUAAUGGACAACAAUAUUAUGGCAGCAAUAUAACAUGACAUUGUCAAAAUGAUGGUGGAUGAUGUCUGCAAAAGUUUGCAUGCCAAUCACAUUCCAAAAAGAAAAUGUUUAUCUGCAAUACUCACACAAUACCACACUGUAACAGACCAUGGUCAAUGCACCUUUAAUCUCUUUUGCGACUGACUAUAAUAACUGACUCUAAUACCAUAUCGAAAAUUUUGAGGUUUGACGCUUUUUUGAACAAUGAAAUCAGAAAUCCAAAUUAUUGCUGUAGUGUUAACUGUUAUAUCAUUAGCUAUGAAUCUGAGUCAUGAUAUAUUUAUUGCUGUUA